Molecule: ribosomal RNA, 437 nt
Filed under: uncultured bacterium
Lineage: Bacteria
Description: partial 16S ribosomal RNA
Rfam family: Bacterial small subunit ribosomal RNA
Source: RNAcentral
AGCGAACGCUCGCGGCAGGCUUAACACAUGCAAGUCGAGCGGGCAUCCUUGUGGUGUCAGCGGCAGACGGGUGAGUAACGCGUGGGAACGUGCCCUUCGGUUCGGAAUAACUCAGGGAAACUUGAGCUAAUACCGGAUACGUGCGAGAGCAGAAAGGUUUAUCUGCCGAAGGAUCGGCCCGCGUCUGAUUAGCUAGUUGGUGAGGUUACGGCUCACCAAGGCGACGAUCAGUAGCUGGUCUGAGAGGAUGAUCAGCCACACUGGGACUGAGACACGGCCCAGACUCCUACGGGAGGCAGCAGUGGGGAAUAUUGGACAAUGGGGGCAACCCUGAUCCAGCCAUGCCGCGUGAGUGAUGACGGCCUUAGGGUUGUAAAGCUCUUUUCUCCGGGACGAUAAUGACGGUACCGGAGGAAUAAGCCCCGGCUAACUUCGUG